Molecule: ribosomal RNA, 399 nt
Filed under: uncultured bacterium
Lineage: Bacteria
Description: partial 16S ribosomal RNA
Rfam family: Bacterial small subunit ribosomal RNA
Source: RNAcentral
CCUACGGGUGGCAGCAGUGAGGAAUAUUGGUCAAUGGGCGCGAGCCUGAACCAGCCACGUAGCGUGAAGGAUGACUGCCCUACGGGUUGUAAACUUCUUUUAUAAAGGAAUAAAGUGAGGCACGUGUGCCUUUUUGUAUGUACUUUAUGAUUACGGCUCGGCUAACUCCGUGCCAGCAGCCGCGGUAAUACGGAGGAUCCGAGCGUUAUCCGGAUUUAUUGGGUUUAAAGGGAGCGUAGAUGGGUUGUUAAGUCAGUUGUGAAAGUUUGCGGCUCAACCGUAAAAUUGCAAUUGAUACUGGCAGCCUGGAGUACAGGUGAGGGAGGUGGAAUUCGUGGUGUAGCGGUGAAAUGCUUAGAGAUCACGAAGAAUGCCGAUUGCGAAGGCAGCCUACUAAAC